UACGUAGGGGGCGAGCGUUAUCCGGAAUUAUUGGGCGUAAAGAGUGCGUAGGUGGUCUUGUAAGCGUGGGGUGAAAGACAGUGGCUUAACCAUUGUAAGCCUUGCGAACUGUGGGACUUGAGUGCAGGAGAGGAAAGUGGAAUUCCUAGUGUAGCGGUGAAAUGCGUAGAUAUUAGGAGGAACAUCACUGGCGAAGGCGACUUUCUGGACUGUAACUGACACUGAGGCACGAAAGCGUGGGGAGCAAACAGGAUUAGAUACCCGGGUAGGUCCCUGA
This 277-nucleotide ribosomal RNA is filed under the name uncultured prokaryote. RNAcentral describes it as "partial 16S ribosomal RNA". It matches the Rfam family "Bacterial small subunit ribosomal RNA", at positions 524 to 800 of the family's 1533-position model. The record is from RNAcentral.